RNAcentral lists this ribosomal RNA (497 nucleotides) under uncultured bacterium. RNAcentral describes it as "partial 16S ribosomal RNA". It matches the Rfam family "Bacterial small subunit ribosomal RNA", at positions 28 to 507 of the family's 1533-position model. The record is from RNAcentral.
GAUGAACGCUGGCGGCGUGCCUAAUACAUGCAAGUCGAGCGAACGGACGAGAAGCUUGCUUCUCUGAUGUUAGCGGCGGACGGGUGAGUAACACGUGGAUAACCUACCUAUAAGACUGGGAUAACUUCGGGAAACCGGAGCUAAUACCGGAUAAUAUUUUGAACCGCAUGGUUCAAAAGUGAAAGACGGUCCUGCUGUCACUUAUAGAUGGAUCCGCGCUGCAUUAGCUAGUUGGUAAGGUAACGGCUUACCAAGGCAACGAUGCAUAGCCGACCUGAGAGGGUGAUCGGCCACACUGGAACUGAGACACGGUCCAGACUCCUACGGGAGGCAGCAGUAGGGAAUCUUCCGCAAUGGGCGAAAGCCUGACGGAGCAACGCCGCGUGAGUGAUGAAGGUCUUCGGAUCGUAAAACUCUGUUAUUAGAGAAGAACAUAUGUGUAAGUAACUGUGCACAUCUUGACGGUACCUAAUCAGAAAGCCACGGCUAACUACGUG